This is a long non-coding RNA of Oreochromis aureus, 794 nucleotides long. NCBI's taxonomy places the organism in Eukaryota, Metazoa, Chordata, Actinopteri, Cichliformes, Cichlidae. The record is from Ensembl.
GAAUUUUUGCAGGUGAAUUUUUUGCAGGUGAAUUUUUGCAGUUGAAUUUUUUGCAGGCGAAUUUUUGCAGGUGAAUUUUUGCAGUUGAAUUUUUUGCAGGCGAAUUUUUGCAGUUGAAUUUUUUGCAGGUGAAUUUUUGCAGGUGAAUUUUUGCAGUUGAAUUUUUUGCAGGUGAAUUUUUGCAGACAUCCAGAGGUCCGCAAAGUGCGAGAGACCAUGAGAGGGGCAACCAUGGGCGACCAUGAGAUGGGCAGCUUCCUGCCAGAGAGCAGCAGGUGUCAGCACGGCCCCUCCUGAGAACCCUCAAUGUCUACAUGCAUUUAAAAUUGAGAGGUGGGCGCCAGCGCCAGAGGUAUGUGUAUGGGUGUGGGUGUGUCUGGUAGGACGGUUUACAGACACCGUCAAGCCUUGUGGGUGUGCCCUGCUGGCCACACCUGAGGAAGAUGCACACACAGACCUGCAGCUGAUCAAGCCUCGUCGGAGAAGGAACUACUUAGGAGUGUGGUGGAGCUCUGUUCGACGCUGGAUCGUUUCGUGAGACUCCCGAGAAUUGCGGGACGAGAGGGCAGCAAACAUGGAUCACACUAACACUAAGGAGUGGAGGCACAGAGCACUGACACUGGAUGAAGACACGGAACGGAAGUCUGGGACACACAGGGAUUUAUUGUUACUUUACUUCACCACCUUGUAAAUAAACACUGUUUGCACUGAAGAGUCUGGCGUUUGGGUCCUGUUUCCCCACCUCCCCACGGUCUGCCGGUGCAGGUCGUGACACGUUCAGUAACUUCUGAUUU